UACGUAGGGUGCAAGCGUUGUCCGGAAUUAUUGGGCGUAAAGGGCUCGUAGGUGGCUAAUCAAGUCUGCUGUCAAAGCGUGGAGCUUAACUCCAUACCGGCGGUGGAAACUGAUGAGCUAGAGUGCGAUAGGGGUAGCAGGAAUUCCCAGUGUAGCGGUGAAAUGCGUAGAGAUUGGGAAGAACACCAGCGGCGAAAGCGUGCUACUGGGUCUGCACUGACACUGAGGGACGAAAGCUAGGGGAGCGAAAGGG
RNAcentral lists this ribosomal RNA (253 nucleotides) under uncultured bacterium. RNAcentral's name for it is "partial 16S ribosomal RNA". It matches the Rfam family "Bacterial small subunit ribosomal RNA", at positions 524 to 776 of the family's 1533-position model. The record is from RNAcentral.